AUAAAGUUUGAUUUUCGUUUUGAUAUUCAUUUUAAAUUUUAAUUAUAUGUAAGUUUUUGCUUUGAUGGAAUUAAAAAUUACUUCAAAAUUUAUGGCAAUAUUUAAUUUUAUAAAAUUAAAGAGAUUUAGAUUUAGAAAUAUUUUUUAGUAUAGUAUAAUUUUGUGCCAGCAUUCGCGGUUAAACAAAAUGAUGUAAGUGAAUAAUAAUUAAUUUAUAAUUAAUAGAAUUAUAUAAUUAUUCUAGUAUAAAGGGUUGGAUUUAGGGGGUAAAAUCUUAAUUUUAAUUAAUAUAUUUUUAAUAUUUUUUAUGAGGGUGUGAAAUUUUUUUGUUAAACUAGGAUUAGAUACCCUAUUAUUUAAAAUGUAAAUAAUUUAAAUUAGAUGAUUAAUAGAUAUGAUCUUAAAAGUCAAGAGAUUUGGCGGUAUUCUAUCAAAUUAGGGGAAUUUGCUUAUGAAAUGAUGGUCCGCAAGAAAUCUUACUUUAUUUAAUUAGUUUAUAUGCCGCCGUUUAUAUUAGAGGGUCUUGUUAGAGGAGGAACUUUUUAAAGGCUUUAUAGGGCAGUAAUUCAGGUAAGGUGUAGUUUAUAGUAAAGUUUAAGUGAAUUACAAUAAAAUUAUUUAUUAUGAAUAUUAUAUUGAAAUAUAUGGUUGAAGGUGGACUUAAAAGUAAAAUAAAAAAUUAUAUUUAUUUGAAUUUAGAUCUAGAGUAUGUACAUAUCGCCCGUCGCUCUCGUUAAAAAAUGAGAUAAGUCGUAACAUAGUAGAUGUACUGGAAAGUGUAUCUAG
RNAcentral lists this non-coding RNA (786 nucleotides) under Runaria punctata. The record is from RNAcentral. Lineage: Eukaryota; Metazoa; Arthropoda; Insecta; Hymenoptera; Blasticotomidae.